GUCAACAUGAUUUGUCUGCACAGAUUGCUGUUUUCCUCCACGCAACGUGCCACCAACACUGCGUCCGAAGUUCCGACUUUUUCACAGACGUGAUGGACCACAGUGACCAAACUACACAC
Long non-coding RNA from Etheostoma spectabile (orangethroat darter), 119 nucleotides. RefSeq lists it as uncharacterized. The record is from RefSeq and is a predicted model, not a curated record. The transcript has 2 exons. Lineage: Eukaryota; Metazoa; Chordata; Actinopteri; Perciformes; Percidae.